CCUGAAAAUCCUAGUUCUAGUAUUAAAAGAUCAUAUAAAAAAUAUAGAGAGGAUAAUAGAACCGCUAGAAAUAUCAUGUCGAUUUUUAUGAAAUCUGACAUUGAAAUUUUAUUUGAAGAAUAUAAAUAUGUUAAAAAUAUAUUUGUUACAGUUUCUGAUGCAUAUAGUUCUUCAUCUGUAACUCAUAUUCAACUUUUAAUUGAGAAAUUUAAUGAAACAUAGAUGAAAGAGGCUGAUAAUAUUA
Molecule: long non-coding RNA, 244 nt
Filed under: Elaeis guineensis (African oil palm)
Lineage: Eukaryota; Viridiplantae; Streptophyta; Magnoliopsida; Arecales; Arecaceae
Description: long non-coding RNA (EGUI_LNC018229)
Source: RNAcentral